Molecule: long non-coding RNA, 240 nt
Organism: Alligator sinensis (Chinese alligator)
Lineage: Eukaryota; Metazoa; Chordata; Crocodylia; Alligatoridae
Exons: 4
Source: RefSeq, a predicted model, not a curated record
CCCAGAGAACAGCUCCCACAAAGCCCGAUCAUCCCCUCUGAAGGACCAGCCUGCAGCUGAGCUCUGGGAUAGGGAAGGAUAAGGAGAUAAAUUGGAAUUUUAAAACCACAUGCAACAUGAGGGAAUGGAUGAAGCACAACCAGACAGAGUGCAGGAGGAAAUUUUAGAUAACCAGGAUUCUGACAGCAGAGGGAUGAUUUCUUGCUAUAAAUGAGGACUCCAGUAAAGCAAUUUCUAUUU